RNAcentral lists this transfer RNA (81 nucleotides) under Toona sinensis. RNAcentral describes it as "tRNA-Val". Lineage: Eukaryota; Viridiplantae; Streptophyta; Magnoliopsida; Sapindales; Meliaceae. The record is from RNAcentral.
AUUUAAGUCAAGCUUGUUGUAAGGCUAAAGCCCCUUUACUAGGGGCAGAACGAAAAGUCGGAAAGCAGCUUUACUUAGAUA